GGGGUUAUAGCUCAGCUGGGAGAGCGCCUGCCUUGCACGCAGGAGGUCUGCGGUUCGAUCCCGCAUA
Molecule: transfer RNA, 67 nt
Filed under: Vibrio cholerae HC-02C1
Lineage: Bacteria; Pseudomonadati; Pseudomonadota; Gammaproteobacteria; Vibrionales; Vibrionaceae
Also listed under: 4 other names
Description: partial tRNA-Ala
Rfam family: tRNA
About the family: Transfer RNA (tRNA) molecules are approximately 80 nucleotides in length. Their secondary structure includes four short double-helical elements and three loops (D, anti-codon, and T loops). Further hydrogen bonds mediate the characteristic L-shaped molecular structure. tRNAs have two regions of fundamental functional importance: the anti-codon, which is responsible for specific mRNA codon recognition, and the 3' end, to which the tRNAs corresponding amino acid is attached (by aminoacyl-tRNA synthetases). tRNAs cope with the degeneracy of the genetic code in two manners: having more than one tRNA (with a specific anti-codon) for a particular amino acid; and 'wobble' base-pairing, i.e. permitting non-standard base-pairing at the 3rd anti-codon position.
Source: RNAcentral